AAUAGCUGGAUUGUUGCUAUAAAAGCUGCAAAAUCCUUACACUGUAAAAUAAUUAAAUCCCAACGUAACAUUGACUUUGUGUAAAACACUUAGCUCAGAGUUUGGUUAAGAGCAAAUGUUCAGUACCUGGUAGCUGUUUAUAUUAUGGCUAUUACUUUUGCAACUAAAAUUAGAAGCAUUCUGCAAUUCUCCACAGCCAGUAUUUAUAUGCCAAGGUCACCUUGCUCAAUUCGAUGGGCAUUUCGGGGACAGUAUCGUGGGACUCUGGGAGUGGAUUAAGGCUACUCAGGAUGGAGGCAGACUUCAGAGAAGGUGGCGAGGAAAAUGACAAAAACCAAAACUUUGUCCAUUACAGCAUUAUUUACAAUAGCUGAGAUGCAGAACCAACCAACCUAAGUGCCUAUCCACAGGUAAAUGGAUAAAGAAGAUAUGAUUUCUCUCUCUCCCUCCCUCUCUCUCUCUCCAGAUAUAAAUAUAUAAAUAUAUAUACACAUAAUAAUAUUCAGCCAUGAGAAAGAAGGAAAAUACUUCCAUUUGUAACAACGUGGUUGGACAGAGGGCAUUAUUCUAAGUGAAAUAAGUCAGAGAAAAACAAAUACGAUAUGACAUCACUUCUAUAUGGAAUCUAAAAAAGCCAAACUCAUAGAAACAGAGAGGAGAGCCCCUGUGAUUACCAGGGGCUGGGGGCUGGGGGAAAUUGGGAAGAUGUUGGUCAAAGGGUAUAAACUUCCAAUUAAAAGGACAAGUAAGUUCUGGGGGCCUAAUGUACAGCAUGGUGAGUAUAGUUAAUCAUACGGUAUCAUAUACUGAAAAGGUGUUAAGCAUGUAGAUCUUAAAUGUUCUCACCACAAAAACGAAAUGGUAAUUGUGUGAUGUGAUGAAGGUGUUAGCUAACACUACAGUGGCAAUCGUUUUGCAAUAGAUCAGUGUAUCAGAUCAACAUGUUAUAAGCCUUAAACUUACACAAUGUUAUAACACCCUAUCAAUUAUAUGUCAAUAGAGCUGGGGGUGAAAAAAAAAAAAAGACUACAAAGUGCCUGUGAAGAGACUAAUGAAUAAACCUGAAAAGCAUGCAUCCGUACGUGUGUGUUUAUAUUCAGAAAAUCUAUUUCGAGCUUAUCCGUAAUCAUAUUUAAUUGCAUCUUUAAUUUCUAAAUUGCCAGAUUAAGAAACAAGCUCCCUUCUCAUUGUAUUUGAGAAUUUAACAUAGCAAGCGCUUGUCAGAAAGGAGGCCAUUGUGUGGCUGGGCAUGCCACCUGGAGGGGCAGUUUCAGACAGAGCCCUCCCCAUCUCCUUCCCAGCCCUCCCUCCCCUGCCCUCCCCUUCUCACCCCUGCUCUAGUUAAAGGCUGAUUCAUCUGACCUGGAGGCGAUGGUAUCACUG
This 1383-nucleotide long non-coding RNA is filed under the name Sus scrofa (pig). RNAcentral describes it as "lncRNA (ENSSSCG00035057384.1)". The record is from RNAcentral. Lineage: Eukaryota; Metazoa; Chordata; Mammalia; Artiodactyla; Suidae.